CCAUCUCUUGUCUGAUCCUCCGGAUUUGCUCCUCCAUCUCAGCAGCUGCAACUCGUGACGCUAUCAGCGACUGCAUGACACGCCGAUUAACCUUUCGCUCCCUUGCCAAUCUAGCCCUCAUAGCUCUCAGGCCACGACCCUUGAUGAUGUGUAG
Long non-coding RNA from Hibiscus syriacus, 154 nucleotides. RefSeq lists it as uncharacterized. Lineage: Eukaryota; Viridiplantae; Streptophyta; Magnoliopsida; Malvales; Malvaceae. The transcript has 3 exons. The record is from RefSeq and is a predicted model, not a curated record.